GGAAUCUUGGGCAAUGGGCGCAAGCCUGACCCAGCGACGCCGCGUGAGGGAUGAAGGCCUUCGGGUCGUAAACCUCUGUCAGGAGGGAAGAACGGCGGUGAGGUGAACAAUCCCGCUGUCUGACGGUACCUCCGCAGGAAGCGCCGGCUAACCCCGUGCCAGCCGCCGCGGUAAUACGGAGGGCGCAAGCGUUGUUCGGAAUCACUGGGCGUAAAGCGCGUGUAGGCGGCUCUGCAAGUCGGGUGUGAAAUCCCGAGGCUCAACCUCGGAACUGCACUCGAUACUGCUUGGCUCGAGUCCCGGAGAGGGUGGCGGAAUUCCCGGUGUAGGGGUGAAAUCCGUAGAUAUCGGGAGGAACACCAGUGGCGAAGGCGGCCACCUGGACGGUGACUGACGCUGAGACGCGAAAGCGUGGGGAGCAAAC
RNAcentral lists this ribosomal RNA (424 nucleotides) under uncultured bacterium. RNAcentral's name for it is "bacterial SSU rRNA". It matches the Rfam family "Bacterial small subunit ribosomal RNA", at positions 358 to 773 of the family's 1533-position model. The record is from RNAcentral.